Molecule: ribosomal RNA, 873 nt
Filed under: Triticum aestivum (bread wheat)
Lineage: Eukaryota; Viridiplantae; Streptophyta; Magnoliopsida; Poales; Poaceae
Description: partial small subunit ribosomal RNA
Source: RNAcentral
AUGUUCAUAAGCAUGGAGCCGUCGCCUUUGACAGACAAGAUUGAUAUGUGGUUCGGCAAAUUGCUUGAUGGUCUACGGGCAUUCCCCUUUGAUAUUCCAGGGACAACAUCUCACACUGCACGAAAGUGUCGCCAGAAGCUAGAUGCCGUCUUCCGGGAGGAGCUGCAAGCAAGGAAGAUGUACAAGGAGUGUGAUGAUCUUAUGAGCGGAUUGAUGCAGAUGAAGGAUGAGCACGGGAAGAAAUUGAGUGACGAGGAGGUGGUACAUAACAUCAUCUCCCUCGUCAUCGCCGGCUACGAGUCCACUACCAUCGCCAUCAUGUGGGCUGUCUACCACCUCGCAAAAUCCCCGGUUGUCCUUGCUAAGCUUCGGGAGGAGAAUGUAGCGAUGAGCAAAAGCAAAGGUGGGUCUAUGUCAACGGGUUUGAUGAUUACCCACGAUGACAUCCCAAAGAUGAAGUACACCGCGAAGGUGGUGGAGGAGACAAUUCGGAUGGCCAACAUCGCCCCAAUGGUCCACCGUGUGGCGAACAAGGAUGUGGAGUACCGCGGCUACACCAUACCAAAGGGAUGGGCCGUGCUGGUGUGGUUGAGAUCAGUGCACACCGAUCCCAAUUACUACCAGGAUCCCCUCUCCUUCAAUCCUGACAGAUGGGAUGGACCGGCAAAGCCAGGAACAUACCAGGUGUUCGGAGGUGGCCCUCGGAUCUGCGCAGGCAACAUGCUCGCUAGGCUGCAGGUCACCAUCAUCCUGCAUCAUCUCUGCGUUGGCUAUGAAUGGGAGUUGAUCAAUCCCGAUGCACAGAUUAAUUACCUUCCGCACCCAAGGCCAGUGGAUGGCGCAGCCAUGACCUUUCGUAAGCUUAGCACCUGA